RNAcentral lists this ribosomal RNA (669 nucleotides) under uncultured Eubacteriales bacterium. Its description in RNAcentral is "bacterial SSU rRNA". It matches the Rfam family "Bacterial small subunit ribosomal RNA", at positions 895 to 1533 of the family's 1533-position model. Lineage: Bacteria; Bacillati; Bacillota; Clostridia; Eubacteriales. The record is from RNAcentral.
UGAAACUCAAAGGAAUUGACGGGGGACCCGCACAAGCGGUGGAACAUGUGGUUUAAUUCGAAGCAAACGCGAAGAACCUUACCAGGCCCUUGAACAUCCCGGUGAACCGUCCCGUAAUGGGGACCUCUCUUCGGAGCACCGGUGACAGGUGGUGCAUGGUUGUAGUCAGCUCGUGUCCGUGAGAUGUUGGGUUAAGUCCCGCAACGAGCGCAACCCCUAUGUUCAGUAGCCAGCAGGUAAGGCUGGGCACUCUGGACAGACUGCCGGGGAUAACCCGGAGGAAGGCGGGGAUGACGUCAAAUCAUCAUGCCCCUUACGGCCUGGGCUACACACGUGCUACAAUGGCGUAAACAAAGGGAAGCGAGAGGGUGACCUGGAGCGAAUCCCAAAAAUAACGUCCCAGUUCGGACUGUAGUCUGCAACCCGACUACACGAAGCUGGAAUCGCUAGUAAUCGCGAAUCAGCAUGUCGCGGUGAAUACGUUCCCGGGUCUUGUACACACCGCCCGUCACACCAUGGGAGUUGGAAAUGCCCGAAGUCAGUGACCUAACCGCAAGGGAGGAGCUGCCGAAGGUGGAGCCGAUGACUGGGGUGAAGUCGUAACAAGGUAACCAGUAACAAGGUAACCCUCUAGAGUUUGAUCCUGGCUCAGAAGUCGUAACAGGGUAC